This 357-nucleotide long non-coding RNA is filed under the name Brassica napus (rape). Its description in RNAcentral is "long non-coding RNA (BNAP_LNC013261)". Lineage: Eukaryota; Viridiplantae; Streptophyta; Magnoliopsida; Brassicales; Brassicaceae. The record is from RNAcentral.
ACGUGUUACCUGGAGAAGAUCGCUCUGGAUGAAUUGGAUGGAGGCUGAAGAGUCCCCCUCCGGCAGAACCACAAGGGUCAAAGGAAACACCUUAGUGUUAAGAUUGGCAAGACCUUGGCUGGAUCACUCGACGACGACGGAGAGACCUUCGGGGUAGAUUCAGAAGCCUUAGACUUCUUUUUGGAAGAAGAGGCCAGAGCAGUCGUAGCUUGACAUUUGCUGCUCCUGAUGAAUUGGACUUCAUCCUCAGUCUCACUAGGAGCAGCCCGCUUAGGAGCCGCCUUCUUCGCCAACAUGAUCUCCAAAGCUCUGUUAUACUCCGCCAAUGCUUCCUCGCCUUUGCAUCCCGACAUCUCA